This 671-nucleotide ribosomal RNA is filed under the name Scolytodes comosus. RNAcentral describes it as "partial large subunit ribosomal RNA". It matches the Rfam family "Eukaryotic large subunit ribosomal RNA", at positions 386 to 839 of the family's 3401-position model. The record is from RNAcentral. Lineage: Eukaryota; Metazoa; Arthropoda; Insecta; Coleoptera; Curculionidae.
CCUGAGAAACCCGAAAGGUCGAAAGAAGAAAUUCAUUCGUGUUUCGAUGUAAGCGUUGAACGGUGCGUGUGACGGAAUAGGCAACUAUUUCGCACCCUUCGUUUACCGAUCUUGCGACGAACGCGUGCACUUUUCUUCUGGUAGGACGUCGCGAUCCGUUGGGCGUCGGUUUACGACUGUUGCGGUGGAGCCCGUUUGUAACGUUUUCGGACGUUUCUUACUUACGGACCCGCUCGUUCUGACCGACUCGCUCGACGGUAUAAGAUAACGGUCAAGGGCCGCUCUUUGGAGCGUUCGACUCGUAGCAAGCGCGCUAGUAUGAUUGGCCAUCGGACCUAGUGCCGAUUUCGAUCCCUAGUGACUGUUGGCUGCGAUGUUCUCGAACAGACUCUUACACACAAUAUAAGACCGAUCUGCGGCGCUAUAGCUUUGGGUAAUUUCAGGACCCGUCUUGAAACACGGACCAAGGAGUCUAGCAUGUACGCGAGUCAUUGGGAAUUAUUAAACCUAAAGGCGCAAUGAAAGUGAAGAUCUUUCUUUACGAAAGAUCAAGGGAAGAUGAUCGAUCUCAUGAGAUCGUUUCGCAUUCCCGGGGCGUCUCGUUCUCAUUGCGAGAAGAGGCGCACCAAGAGCGUACACGCUGGGACCCGAAAGAUGGUGAACUAUGCCUG